This 426-nucleotide ribosomal RNA is filed under the name uncultured Lactobacillus sp. RNAcentral's name for it is "bacterial SSU rRNA". It matches the Rfam family "Bacterial small subunit ribosomal RNA", at positions 356 to 774 of the family's 1533-position model. The record is from RNAcentral. Lineage: Bacteria; Bacillati; Bacillota; Bacilli; Lactobacillales; Lactobacillaceae.
AGGGAAUCUUCCACAAUGGACGCAAGUCUGAUGGAGCAACGCCGCGUGAGUGAAGAAGGCUUUCGGGUCGUAAAACUCUGUUAUUGAAGAAGAACGUGUGUGACAGUAACUGGUCAUGCAGUGACGGUAUUCAAUCAGAAAGUCACGGCUAACUACGUGCCAGCAGCCGCGGUAAUACGUAGGUGGCAAGCGUUGUCCGGAUUUAUUGGGCGUAAAGCGAGUGCAGGCGGUCUUUUAAGUCUGAUGUGAAAGCCUUCGGCUUAACCGAAGAAGGGCAUCGGAAACUGGGAGACUUGAGUGCAGAAGAGGAGAGUGGAACUCCAUGUGUAGCGGUGAAAUGCGUAGAUAUAUGGAAGAACACCAGUGGCGAAGGCGGCUCUCUGGUCUGUAACUGACGCUGAGGCUCGAAAGCGUGGGUAGCAAACA